CUGCAUUCUCAUCCAAACUGAGCAUUCCCACUGUAAUUAGAGUUUAAACUGUUACAUACAUUGAAAUGCUGGAGUCGGGGCAUUGCACAGGUGCUUUCACCUUCUUCACUGUGGUAUCCAGUUUAUUCCUCGUGACAUGAUUUGUACAUUUUUCACAAGUUUUCCAUAGGAGAGUGCCAACUUGUCUACUUGUCUACAGAAGCAGAAUUUUCUUGAACCUGGAGCAGGGAUAUCUGAAUUAUACCACUAACUCUACUAGACGUUUCCAGUCUUACUUUGAGGAAGAAGAGGCAGACAGUUGACCUUGAACUGUCAAUUACACCCAGAAGGAUGAGAGUCAAAUGCUACCAGAUAAGAUGUCUUGGAUCUCCUUUGACUUGCUCCUUUCCAGUCUGUACCUUUGACAAGAUCCUUCAUAUGUACAUCUCUGAAAAGUGCAUCGCUUGCUAACAUCCUAAUGCCUUCUACUAAAAGUUCCACAUAACCCACGUAUCUCCUAAGAUAACUGAAGAAACCAUUAUGAUGGGUCUGUGUCUUUGCUGAAGAGUCUGUCAGGCUUUAACUUUCUGCUUCUGUCCUUUCUAUUGGUAUAGUACCUGAAAUUAGACUUUCAAUAGAAGGGGUGAAAUUUGUCAGAUGAAAACUCUUCUUGAGACAAAAUACUGAUUUGGGUUGACUGAAAUGGCCUUCAAGUUCAUUUAAUUGUUUCAGCUGGAAAAAACGUUUUUAUGUCAAAACAUGUUAGCUGAAAAAAAACACUUUUAUUUUUUGUUUUGGAAAAUAUGCUUCAAUAUUAAAUGUAUCUAAAUUUAAUUUUACUAAAGACUGUGAAAGAAUAACUUGUAUUUCUUCAGUAUAAACUAUUCCACUUAAGCAAUUUCAAUGACUUUUUGUUUUCAAUAUCAAAACCAAACAGAAAUUAAUUUUGGAUCAAUCUGAAUAUUUUCCCUCUGUGGUUUGCCCAUUAAAAAUAAAUGUACUACAUUUCUCUAAUCGUUAUUUCA
This 1004-nucleotide long non-coding RNA is filed under the name Struthio camelus australis. RNAcentral's name for it is "lncRNA (ENSSCUG00000012517.1)". Lineage: Eukaryota; Metazoa; Chordata; Aves; Struthioniformes; Struthionidae. The record is from RNAcentral.